AGCAUAUCAAUAAGCGGAGGAAAAGAAACCAACUGGGAUUGCCUUAGUAACGGCGAGUGAAGCGGCAAUAGCUCAAAUUUGAAAGCUGGCCCCUUUGGGGUCCGCGUUGUAAUUUGUAGAGGAUGAUUCGGCGAGGGCUCCCGUCUAAGUCCCCUGGAACGGGGCGUCAUAGAGGGUGAGAAUCCCGUAUGUGAUGGGUUGCCUUAGCCAUGUGAAUCUCCUUCGACGAGUCGAGUUGUUUGGGAAUGCAGCUCUAAAUGGGAGGUAAAUUUCUUCUAAAGCUAAAUACCGGCCAGAGACCGAUAGCGCACAAGUAGAGUGAUCGAAAGAUGAAAAGCACUUUGGAAAGAGAGUUAAAAAGUACGUGAAAUUGUUGAAAGGGAAGCGCUUGCAGCCAGACUUGUCCGCAGUUGCUCAGCCGGUCUCCUGACCGGCGUACUCUUCUGCGGCCAGGCCAGCAUCAGUUCGGGCGGUCGGAUAAAGACCUCGGGAAUGUAGCUCCUCUCGGGGAGUGUUAUAGCCCGGGGUGGAAUGCGGCCAGCCUGGACUGAGGAUCUCGCUUCGGCUAGGAUGCUGGCGUAAUGGCUGUAAGCGGCCCGUCUUGAAACACGGACCAAGGAGUCUAACAUCUAUGCGAGUGUUUGGGUGUCAAACCCAUACGCGUAAUGAAAGUGAACGGAGGUGGGAACCCUCACGGGUGCACCAUCGACCGAUCCUGAUGUCUUCGGAUGGAUUUGAGUAUGAGCAUAGCUGUUGGGACCCGAAAGAUGGUGAACUAUGCCUGAAUAGGGUGAAGCCAGAGGAAACUCUGGUGGAGGCUCGCAGCGGUUCUGACGUGCAAAUCGAUCGUCAAAUUUGGGUAUAGGGGCGAAAGACUAAUCGAACCAUCUAGUAGCUGG
Molecule: ribosomal RNA, 899 nt
Filed under: Dothiorella aff. vidmadera
Lineage: Eukaryota; Fungi; Ascomycota; Dothideomycetes; Botryosphaeriales; Botryosphaeriaceae
Description: partial large subunit ribosomal RNA
Rfam family: Eukaryotic large subunit ribosomal RNA
Source: RNAcentral